UCGGCGUUCAAAAGAAAAUAAUGGUCGA
RNAcentral lists this non-coding RNA (28 nucleotides) under Bombyx mori (domestic silkworm). The record is from RNAcentral. Lineage: Eukaryota; Metazoa; Arthropoda; Insecta; Lepidoptera; Bombycidae.